CGUCGGGGCGUAACUUAGGCAGCCCCCUCCCAACCACCUGCCCGCCAGAAGACUACAAGUGAUAAACUUGAAACUCAAAAGACUUGACGGUGCCCCAUAUCACCCUAGAGGAGCCUGUCCUAUAAUCGAUGACCCCCGUUUUACCUCACCUGCCCUAGAACACAACCUUCAGCCUAUAUACCGCCAUAUUCAGCAAACAA
RNAcentral lists this ribosomal RNA (200 nucleotides) under Hemidactylus sp. KKS-2010. RNAcentral's name for it is "partial 12S ribosomal RNA". Lineage: Eukaryota; Metazoa; Chordata; Lepidosauria; Squamata; Gekkonidae. The record is from RNAcentral.